This 253-nucleotide ribosomal RNA is filed under the name uncultured bacterium. Its description in RNAcentral is "partial 16S ribosomal RNA". It matches the Rfam family "Bacterial small subunit ribosomal RNA", at positions 524 to 776 of the family's 1533-position model. The record is from RNAcentral.
UACAGAGGUCCCAAGCGUUGUUCGGAUUCACUGGGCGUAAAGGGUGCGUAGGUGGUGAGGUAAGUCGGAUGUGAAAUCUCCGAGCUCAACUCGGAAAUGGCAUUGGAAACUACCUUGCUCGAGGGUUGGAGGGGGGACUGGAAUACUUGGUGUAGCAGUGAAAUUCGUAGAUAUCAGGAGGAACACCAGUGGCGAAGGCGGCUUUCUGGACGAUAACUGACGCUGAGACGCGAAAGCGUGGGGAGCAAACAGG